UAACUGUGGUAAUUCUAGAGCUAAUACAUGCAUUCNGCCCGCGCCUUCGGGUGCGGGUGCAGUUAUUUGCCCAAGACCAAUCCGGCCCUCGGGUCGGUAAAUUGGUGACUCUGAAUAACCGAAGCGGAGCGUUUGGUCUCGUACCGGCGCCNGAUCGUUCAAGAGUCUGACUUAUCANCUUGAUGUUAGGUUAUGUUCCUAACAUGGCUUUAACGGGUAACGGGGUGUCAGGGCCCGACACCGGAGAGGGAGCCUGAGAAACGGCUACCACAUCCAAGGAAGGCAGCAGGCGCGCAAAUUACCCACUCCCGGCACGGGGAGGUAGUGACGAAAAAUAACGAUCCGAGAGCUUUAUGCUUCUCGUAAUCGGAAUGGGUACACUUUAAAUCCUUUAACGAGNAUCUAUUGGAGGGCACGUCUGGUGCCAGCAGCCGCGGUAAUUCCAGCUCCAAUAGCGUAUAUGAAAGUUGCUGCGGUUAAGAAGCUCGUAGUUGGAUCUGGGUCGUCGAUGGACGGUGCGCCGUAGGGUGUUACUGUUUGUUCGGCACCACAGCCCGGCCAUGUCUUGUAUGCUCUUCAUUGAGUGUACUUGGCGACCGGAACGUUGACUUUGAAAAAAUUAGAGUGCUCAAAGCAAGCUUUAAGCCUAUAUAAUGGUGCAGGGAAAGAUAGAAUAAGACUUUUGCCUUGUUCUGUUGGCCUAAGAGGCAGAAAUAAUGAUCUUUAGGAACAGACCGGGGAGUUCGUAUUGCGGCGUUAUAGGUGAAAUUCUGGGAUCUUCGCAUACGCAGUACGGCGAGAAAUUUGUGGAGAGUGUUUUCAUUCACCACGAACGAAGCUUAGAGGUACGAAGGUUAUCUUAUACCGGAACGUUCGUUACAUGUUCGAUGGCGAUCAGAUACCGCCCUAUUUAUAACAUGAAACGAUGGGAACCUGCGAUCCGACGGAAUUUAUUAGGUGACUCGGCGAGCA
This 972-nucleotide ribosomal RNA is filed under the name Hypsibiidae gen. 2 sp. 1 KZ-2022a. Its description in RNAcentral is "SSU rRNA". It matches the Rfam family "Eukaryotic small subunit ribosomal RNA", at positions 144 to 1085 of the family's 1831-position model. RNAcentral also lists the same sequence under 1 other name. The record is from RNAcentral. Lineage: Eukaryota; Metazoa; Tardigrada; Eutardigrada; Parachela; Hypsibiidae.